Molecule: ribosomal RNA, 253 nt
Filed under: uncultured bacterium
Lineage: Bacteria
Description: partial 16S ribosomal RNA
Rfam family: Bacterial small subunit ribosomal RNA
Source: RNAcentral
UACGAAGGGGGCUAGCGUUGCUCGGAUUUACUGGGCGUAAAGGGCGCGUAGGCGGUGUGUCAAGUCAGGCGUGAAAGCCCCGGGCUCAACCUGGGAACCGCGCUUGAGACUGGCACGCUCGAGUUCGGGAGAGGAUGGCGGAAUUCCCAGUGUAGAGGUGAAAUUCGUAGAUAUUGGGAAGAACACCGAUGGCGAAGGCAGCCAUCUGGACCGACACUGACGCUGAGGCGCGAAAGCGUGGGGAGCAAACAGG